UACGUAGGGGGCAAGCGUUGUCCGGAUUUAUUGGGCGUAAAGAGCGUGUAGGCGGCCAGACAGGUCCGUUGUGAAAACUCGAGGCUCAACCUCGAGAUGUCGAUGGAAACCGUCUGGCUAGAGUCCGGAAGAGGAGUGUGGAAUUCCUGGUGUAGCGGUGAAAUGCGCAGAUAUCAGGAAGAACACCAACGGCGAAGGCAGCUCGCUGGGACGGAACUGACGCUAAGGCGCGAAAGCGUGGGGAGCGAACAGG
Molecule: ribosomal RNA, 253 nt
Filed under: uncultured bacterium
Lineage: Bacteria
Description: partial 16S ribosomal RNA
Rfam family: Bacterial small subunit ribosomal RNA
Source: RNAcentral